Molecule: ribosomal RNA, 262 nt
Filed under: uncultured bacterium
Lineage: Bacteria
Description: partial 16S ribosomal RNA
Rfam family: Bacterial small subunit ribosomal RNA
Source: RNAcentral
GUCCACGCCGUAAACGAUGAGAACUUGACGUUGGGAUGUUUUACAUCUCGGUGUCGCAGCUAACGCGAUAAGUUCUCCGCCUGGGGAGUACGGCCGCAAGGUUGAAACUCAAAGGAAUUGACGGGGCCCGCACAAGCGGUGGAGUAUGUGGUUUAAUUCGAUGCAACGCGAAGAACCUUACCUGGUCUUGACAUCCAGAGAAUCCUGCAGAGAUGCGGGAGUGCCUUCGGGAACUCUGAGACAGGUGCUGCAUGGCUGUCGU